UGCUGCAGUGAUAACGCAGGCCUGUUUGCCAGUGAUUGGACUAAUUAAUAGGCUCACAGAUGAUUUGCGGCUGUCUUACCCAGUCACUGUAGAGGAGGGUGAAAAAGGAGAGAGAAGAAAAGGAGAAGGGCAAAAAUAAAGUCGCUUGACCCGUGAACUUCAGAGCCUCUUGAGAAACGCCCUCAAAAGGUCUAUUUCCUGGGAUCACAGAGCACAUGCGUAAAAAGACCUCGCCUUGCGUCUGUCCUAAGCCAGAGAGCCAUCAGGAGAAGAAGAGUGCAGUCAACCCCAACCUAACAACAUGCCCUCCCAAUGAACUGCUGAAAUCAUCAAAGCAUUGAUUCAGCAAGAUGCCAGAGAUGCUCCACAGAGAUGUUGGUCCCAACUGACUUGCAGCUGUUAUGCAGUACCUGCAGAUUUUUCAUCCAUGUUGUGAACAUCUUUUUUUCAUCUCAUCCCAAAUGUGCUCUUUUGGUUAAGAUCUGGAAACCAUUGGAAUCAAUUUUAAAGAGGAACCCACCUGAAAGUAUGUUUUAACUGUUUAAAGAUAUAGUUCAACAUUUGGGGAAAUACACAUAUUUGCUUAAUGGCAGAGAAUUCGAUGACAACACUGAUACCACAGCGGGUUAGCUUAGCUUAGCAUAUAAACUGUAAACGGGAAGGAAACAGCUAGCCUGGAUCGGUCCAACAGUUGCAAAAUCUGCCUACCAGCAUCUCUAAAGCUCACUAUUUAAUAGGUUAUAUCUCAUUGGUUUAAUAUGUACAAAAACCAAAGAUGUGUCUGAAAGCUCUAGUAGGUCUAGUAGGGGUCAAGACAAGGACCCCUUAACUGAAAGAGAGACGGAGCAGGGACCCCCUACUACAUAUAUUGUAUCAAAUUAAGUUGCGUAUUAAACCGGGCCUACAAUAACGUGAAGGGCGGCCUAAAGCCUUUAUGCAUACCUUUUUAGUGCAUACAAUUCUAAGCUAUAAGCGAUAUGUGUCGAUGGCUAUACCUUAGUGACCAUGGGCAAGUAAGCAAAUCAUCAAUCUCUUAUUUUUUGUUUUUUUUUACUUUCCAAAAAUUAACAAUAAUUUGGUGGCUCCCCUGCAGUUAC
Long non-coding RNA from Perca flavescens (yellow perch), 1097 nucleotides. RefSeq lists it as uncharacterized. The record is from RefSeq and is a predicted model, not a curated record. NCBI's taxonomy places the organism in Eukaryota, Metazoa, Chordata, Actinopteri, Perciformes, Percidae. The transcript has 3 exons.